Long non-coding RNA from Dipodomys spectabilis (banner-tailed kangaroo rat), 1053 nucleotides. RefSeq lists it as uncharacterized. Lineage: Eukaryota; Metazoa; Chordata; Mammalia; Rodentia; Heteromyidae. The transcript has 3 exons. The record is from RefSeq and is a predicted model, not a curated record.
UCAGCCUCCUGAGUGGCUAGGAUGACAGGCAUGAGCCACCAGCGCCUAGCCCACAUGAACUUUUUGAUAGGCUGAGAAGUCAUUGAAUAAGCAAGCUCCUUAGUAAAUGUUAUCUGGAGUCAAUUGUUUUGCCUUGAACAUGGACUCUCACUGGCUUUAUUCUCCACAAACAAAUAGUUGUUUGGGGAAUAAUGACAAGAGAAUACAAACCUGUGCAUUCUCUGUUCAGAUGCAAGGUGUUUUUUGUUUUGUUCUCAGAUAUUUUCUAUCUGAGGCCUGGUUGAAUCUUUGGGUACAGACCCUGCGGAUAGCAAGGCCACCUCUGUUUUCCUUUAUCCAAGCUACAGAUGGCUAGAGGGAGAGGAAGAGUCUACCGCACAGAGAUGCUCAACGUUACCAGGGACUUGCUCUGGCUGAGGUCCGGCCGGAGCUUAUUUAAGACAGCGAAAGUGAAAAGUGCAAGAGGAAAUCGGCUUGUUUAAUUGAGCAUAGAUUUCCCUGGCAGCAAGAUAAGGGACCUCUUCAAGGUUACAGGUAGGAGCUUGGCUGGGUGAGGAAAGGACUGAAGGUAUUCUCGGGUGCCGGGGAAUUCUGCAUCCAGGUGAAUAAAUUGCUGUGCCCUUGAACUGAACCCACACACCACCCGAUGGAUGCUGGGAGAGCAGAUCAGAGAAACAUCACUGCUGCUUCCCCUUCCCUGGGAGGUGACGCAGGGCAGAGGCUGGUCGCCCUCUGCUGGGAGGCCCAGCUCCCUGUGGGGAGGGCAGGGGAGGUGAGGGCUGUCUAGGAGCCUCAUGGAGUCCUCCCACCCCCUUUCCCCCCCACCCCCACUGCUCGAUUCUUCUCCUGGAAACCCUAGACACACUGCUUUACCCCAAUCUAGGUCACCAACUGCUCUGGGUGGCUUGCACAGCUAAGAGGCUGGCUCAUGAAAGAUUCGAAGUCUUUCUGCUCCAGACAGCAAAGCACAUCCUCUCUGCAGCCAGGCUCUGUUUCUGCCUUGGUGCGGAGAGGCGGGAGACUUUGGGCCGCAGAGCUAUGAGCUAUGAGCUG